Molecule: RNA transcript, 2604 nt
Organism: Cornus florida
Lineage: Eukaryota; Viridiplantae; Streptophyta; Magnoliopsida; Cornales; Cornaceae
Gene name: UPF0496 protein At3g19330
Exons: 3
Source: RefSeq, a predicted model, not a curated record
UUCCUCAGAUUUGUUGUGCUUUCACUGGACUUCUGAAUGCCAGCGCCUGAACUCAGUGGUCACCCGGCUAGAAGGGCACCGUCAAAUGAUGCGUUGUCUGAGGCCAUCAUCGUUGACAGCGACAACAAAUCAACAUCCCUCCUCAUCAUCCCCACAAGGAAAUUCGGCUGAGGAAACACCGAGGUCGAGCACACAGCCUUCUCCCACCAUCAACCUCACUCGAGAAUACACCCUUGCUGUACAGACCAGUUCCUACAGCGAGAUACGGGAUAAGAUUCAUCAGAGCAACGCUUGUUACCAUGACCCAGAUCCAGGACAAGAAGAGUGCAAUGAAGGACACCAGCUGUUGGCACAGGUCCUGCAGCCAAACCGAGAUUGUGUCCAAGAGUCACUUCAGUCUAUUCGGCCCAACACCCUUACCCGCCUUGUCUCUGCCUAUUUUGAUCAUAGUGAACACACUUCCCAUCUGUGCCUCCUCCUCUAUGACAGUGUCCGCCAUGCUCGGUCCCUCUAUGCUCCUCUCCACAAUCUCCUCAAUGUCCUUCCCCUAGACUCUGACUCCUACACCCUCACCCAGUCCCAGUGCGACUGUGCCUUUGACAUUUUCCUCCAAUUCGACCGCCUUGACAACCCCUUCUCUUGCUCUGACUCCUUCAACUUCAAUGACAUGCGCUGUUGUUUCUCCCAGCUUAAGCAACAACUCGACCACCGUCUCAGUAAGUCACGCUCCAGGGUUCGUCUCCUUCGCCACGCCACCACUAGCUCCGCCAUUUGUCUCAUUGGCACUGUCGUAGGUGUUGCCAUAUCUGCUGCAGUCAUAGCUGCCCAUGCACUUGUCACCCUUGUGGCUUGCCCCUUUUUUAGUUCAUUCCUUCCAUGCAAGAUAACUAAGAAAGAGAUGGCCCAUCUGGCACAGCUUGAAGCUGCAGCAAAGGGUACUUAUGUCCUGCACAAUGACCUCGACACCAUUGAUCGCCUUGUGGUCCGUUUGUAUACAGCUGUUGAGGGUGACAAGCUUCUCAUUCGCCUUGGAUUGGAGAGGGGCAGGGACAGACAGCCCAUUCAGGAAGUGGUGAAGCAACUCCACAAGAACCAUGAGAAUUUCCUCCGCCAGCUCAUUGAUCUUGAGGAACACAUAUGCCUCUGCUUUGCCGCAAUCAACAGAGCUAGAUCUCUCCUCCUCCAAGAGAUCCAUCUGCAUCAAACUCGUUAUUCCUGACCAAUUUACUUGCAUAAUCCAGUGAGAGUUUUAUUUGCAUUCAUUACACAAGCAAUAAAACUAUUUUUACCAACCUUGACAAAGAACAAGGGUCUCAUCAUGUUAUUUUCAUCAUUGGAGCAAACGUUACUUGUUACUACCUGUUACAUGAUGUCAUGAGACGUCAUGCAAGACAACAAUGUCUCAUUUUUAGCAUGCAAAAGGAUUCUUCUGUAGCAAGUUAUGCUAUAUGAACUUAAGUUCGUUGCCUUUAUCUAGAUUGGCAUGGAGUUCAGUUGUUUGUGAUAUUCAAGAGGGUGGCUUAGGCCUUAAGAAUGUCUCUUUGGAAUAAAUCUGUCAGCUUCUUCUUCCUUUUGGGUGCAAUGGGUCCAUCAUAUUAUUCUUAAAGAUAGGAGCCUAUGGGAUGUUAAAAUUCCUCCUAAUUGCUCAUGGUUUUGGAGGAAGUUGUUGUAGCUAACAGAGCCAUUUAGGUUAUGUAUAAAACAUACAGUGGGUAAUGGUCAGAAUACAUUUUAUUGGUUUGAUAAUUGGUUGCAAUAUGGACCAAUUUAUUCUCAGGAAUGCAUCUCUUUUCUUUGAUAAUUGGUUGCAAUUUGGACCAGUUGUAGGAUCAUUUAUGAUUCUGGUUUACCCUGGGAUGGGGUUGUUAAAAAUGACUUUAAAAAGUUAGAACAUAAAUGGCAUAUAAUAAAAAAGGUUGGAGAGAGAAAAUUCAUGUGGCUGACUCCGCUCAUAUGGGAUUAAGGCGAUGAUGAUGAUUCUGGAUUUUGCCCAUGACAGCCAAGGUUGCAGAUAAUAUUUCCAACAAUUUUUUGUCUUUAACUUCCUUCAACCAAAUAUCACACUUCACAUCUUUGCUAGCUGAUUUACUGUUCCAUGAUCCCAUCUUCUCUUUGCAUACUGGCUCUUUCAUCUACUGUUUAUCAAAUUAUAGGUUAUUUUCUAAAACUACAAGAGAAACUCGGAUUGUUAACAGAGUAAUUGAAGACUCUUAUCAGAUUUAGGCAUUCAAGCUCGGAAGGGGUUACUGAAAGCUCAGUAAGUAAAUAGACGUACUAAACAGAACUGGAUUCUUCCUGAUGAUCCUAGAAACUUCUGCCUACACAUAUGCUAGCCUGGUUAUGCUUUGCUUUUGUCAUGUUUUAUGGUGGCAUAAGGUUAAUUCUACUAGAAUGAAUGUUUAUGGCUUUCAGAUGCCCCAUUUAUAUGUAUUACUGGUGCAGACCUUGUAGUUUCUCUGUAUUGCUUUUGUUAGCUGGUUUCUUGGUUGGCUUAUCAGAUUCUUCAUUAGCCCUCUAAAUUGCUUUCUUUUUUUCUUUUUUGGCUACAUGCAUUACUUUGUAUUCUAUUCGGCAUUCUUUUUUCUUUGCGCCUUUUAGUUGUGU